UACGUAGGCAGCAAGCGUUGUUCGGAGUUACUGGGCGUAAAGAGUGCGUAGGUGGUGCCCUAAGUCUGUUGUGAAAUCUCCCGGCUUAACUGGGAGGGUGCGGUGGAAACUGGGGUGCUUGAGUGUGGGAGAGGAAAGCGGAAUUCCUGGUGUAGCGGUGAAAUGCGCAGAUAUCAGGAGGAACACCUGCGGUGUAGACGGCUUUCUGGACCACUACUGACACUGAGACACGAAAGCGUGGGGAGCAAACAGG
Molecule: ribosomal RNA, 253 nt
Filed under: uncultured prokaryote
Description: partial 16S ribosomal RNA
Rfam family: Bacterial small subunit ribosomal RNA
Source: RNAcentral